UACGAUAUCUACGUUUUCCGUAUUGAAUGGGUAAACCUGGAACAUAGAAAUGGAAAAUUUUCAGUCAUUUCCCCAGUUUCAUUCGAAACGGUAAUGAGGCUAUUAAACAUUUUUUUAUGCCAAGUGAUGACUUUGUAUUUGUUAAUAAUGGUGCCACUAAUAUGGCAAUAAGACGAACAUAAAUAGGUGUCGUUACAGCUUAAAAAAAAUGCAAAAGCAGUUGUUCCUCAGCAGACCGUAACCGCUGUCUAAUAUAAAAGGUUCUCAGGUGGAUCCGAACUUAAUUAUUAUAAAUAAGGCAUAUGUUACUUCAACUUCUUUACCACCAGCUGUAAUUUUAAUUUUCAUUUUGGUUUUAUUGUUAAUCCUUUUAUCUAUUUAAUUAUGUAAACUAUUCUUAAGGUCAAUCAUCGUAAAAAUAACCUAUGGUUGUAUGUUUGACUUAAUACUAAAUAAAUGAAUAAAUAUGCAAUGAG
Long non-coding RNA from Anastrepha obliqua, 476 nucleotides. RefSeq lists it as uncharacterized. The transcript is spliced from 2 exons. The record is from RefSeq and is a predicted model, not a curated record. Lineage: Eukaryota; Metazoa; Arthropoda; Insecta; Diptera; Tephritidae.